Molecule: ribosomal RNA, 445 nt
Filed under: Stephanopyxis turris
Lineage: Eukaryota; Bacillariophyta; Melosirophyceae; Stephanopyxales; Stephanopyxidaceae
Description: eukaryotic LSU rRNA
Rfam family: 5.8S ribosomal RNA (bases 1-106)
Source: RNAcentral
GAAAUGCGAUACGUAAUGCGAAUUGCAAGACUUCGUGAAUCAUCAAAACUUUGAACGCACUUUGUGCUUCCAGGAUAUACCUGGGAGCAUGCUUACUUGAGUGUCUGCAAACACCACUCAACCGCAGUUCCUGUGUGUUGGAUUAUGGCAUGGUUCGGUUGGCACACCAGUGCUAAGCUUGACCUAGCUUAAGUUAAGGCUUUUUCGAAUUCAUUUCGAUGUACUUGCUAUUAAAGUCUAUGGUCUGAUAUGCGAUGAACUUACCUUGGUGAGUACUGUGCAAAAUUUGGUCUAUGGAUUAGAGUGCUGGCCGACCCCAAACUGCAGCCUAUGCCUGCAGUGUAUCUCUGAUACAUUUUUUAUCAGAUCUCAAGUUAAGUAAGAAGACCCGCUGAAUUUAAGCAUAUAAUUAAGCGGAGGAAAAGAAACUAACCAGGAUUCCCCU